RNAcentral lists this unclassified non-coding RNA (247 nucleotides) under uncultured Geminibasidium. RNAcentral describes it as "sequence contains ITS1". The stretch from base 1 to 93 matches the Rfam family "5.8S ribosomal RNA", at positions 50 to 154 of the family's 154-position model. The record is from RNAcentral. Lineage: Eukaryota; Fungi; Basidiomycota; Geminibasidiomycetes; Geminibasidiales; Geminibasidiaceae.
AAAGUGCGAUACGUGGUGCGACCUGCACGAACCUGUGAGUCAUCGAAUCUUUGAACGCAACUUGCGCCCUCGGGCAUGUGUGCUUGAGCCGGCCACAAGCUGGCUUGCCUGUGUUGGGGGACGACGCGUCGCCCCCGAAACGCGUGUCUGCGGCGCGACCAGGACGGUGUUUCCGCGCGUGCGCGGGACAUUUGGCCGCGCGCCUCUGCAUGCCGCUCAGCCACACAAGAUCACCCGCUGGACUUAA